GACGAACGCUGGCGGCGUGCCUAAUACAUGCAAGUCGAACGCUGAAGAGAGGAGCUUACUCUUCUUGGAUGAGUUGCGAACGGGUGAGUAACGCGUAGGUAACCUGCCUUGUAGCGGGGGAUAACUAUUGGAAACGAUAGCUAAUACCGCAUAACAAUGGAUGACACAUGUCAUUUAUUUGAAAGGGGCAAUUGCUCCACUACAAGAUGGACCUGCGUUGUAUUAGCUAGUAGGUGAGGUAAUGGCUCACCUAGGCGACGAUACAUAGCCGACCUGAGAGGGUGAUCGGCCACACUGGGACUGAGACACGGCCCAGACUCCUACGGGAGGCAGCAGUAGGGAAUCUUCGGCAAUGGGGGCAACCCUGACCGAGCAACGCCGCGUGAGUGAAGAAGGUUUUCGGAUCGUAAAGCUCUGUUGUAAGUCAAGAACGGGUGUGAGAGUGGAAAGUGCACACUGUGACGGUAGCUUACCAGAAAGGGACGGCUAACUACGU
RNAcentral lists this ribosomal RNA (496 nucleotides) under uncultured bacterium. RNAcentral describes it as "partial 16S ribosomal RNA". It matches the Rfam family "Bacterial small subunit ribosomal RNA", at positions 28 to 506 of the family's 1533-position model. The record is from RNAcentral.